CGAACGCUGGCGGCGUGCUUCAUACAUGCAAGUCGAACGAGAAAUUCACUUCGGUGGAUGGAAAGUGGCGGACGGGUGAGUAAUGUGUAGAGAAUCUGCCCUAGAGCGGGGGACAACAGCUGGAAACGGUUGCUAAUACCCCAUAUGAGCGUAUCUGAAAUGGUAUUCUUGAAAACUCCGGUGCUCUAGGAUGAGUCUGCAUCUGAUUAGCUAGUUGGGGGUGUAAUGGACCACCAAGGCGACGAUCAGUAGCUGGUUUGAGAGGAUGAUCAGCCACAAUGGGACUGAGACACGGCCCAUACUCCUACGGGAGGCAGCAGUAGGGAAUUUUGCGCAAUGGGCGAAAGCCUGACGCAGCAACGCCGCGUGAUUGAUAAAGCCCUUCGGGGUGUAAAGAUCUGUCAGUGGGGACGAAACUUGACGGUACCCACAGAGGAAGCACCGGCUAACUCCGUGCCAGCAGCCGCGGUAAUACGGAGGGUGCAAGCGUUGUCCGGAAUCAUUGGGCGUAAAGAGUUCGUAGGUGGUUUGUUAAGUUUGGUGUUAAAUGCAGAGGCUCAACUUCUGUUCGGCAUCGGAUACUGGCAGACUAGAAUGCGGUAGAGGUAAAGGGAAUUCCUGGUGUAGCGGUGAAAUGCGUAGAUAUCAGGAGGAACAUCGGUGGCGUAAGCGCUUUACUGGGCCGUAAUUGACACUGAGGAACGAAAGCCAGGGUAGCAAAUGGGAUUAGAUACCCCAGUAGUCCUGGCCGUAAACGAUGGAUACUAGGUGUUGCGGGUAUCGACCCCUGCAGUGCCGUAGCUAACGCGU
This 810-nucleotide ribosomal RNA is filed under the name human gut metagenome. Its description in RNAcentral is "bacterial SSU rRNA". It matches the Rfam family "Bacterial small subunit ribosomal RNA", at positions 30 to 860 of the family's 1533-position model. The record is from RNAcentral.